Molecule: ribosomal RNA, 254 nt
Filed under: uncultured bacterium
Lineage: Bacteria
Description: partial 16S ribosomal RNA
Rfam family: Bacterial small subunit ribosomal RNA
Source: RNAcentral
UACGGGGGGAGCAAGCGUUGUUCGGAUUUACUGGGCGUAAAGGGCGCGUAGGCGGCCACCGCAAGUCGACUGUGAAAUCUCCGGGCUUAACUCGGAAAGGUCAGCCGAUACUGCGGGGCUAGAGUGCAGAAGGGGCAACUGGAAUUCUCGGUGUAGCGGUGAAAUUCGUAGAUAUUAGGAAGAACACCGGUGGCGAAGGCGGCCCACUGGUUCGAUACUGACGCUGAGGUGCGAAAGCGUGGGGAGCAAACAGG